This is a non-coding RNA of [Candida] anglica, 71 nucleotides long. The record is from the annotation of a GenBank genome assembly. NCBI's taxonomy places the organism in Eukaryota, Fungi, Ascomycota, Pichiomycetes, Serinales, Debaryomycetaceae.
GGGUAAAUCAUCUAAUGGUAAGAUACUUGACUUUUAAUCAACUAAUAUAGGUUCGAUUCCUAUUUUACUCA